RNAcentral lists this ribosomal RNA (467 nucleotides) under uncultured bacterium. RNAcentral's name for it is "bacterial SSU rRNA". It matches the Rfam family "Bacterial small subunit ribosomal RNA", at positions 29 to 526 of the family's 1533-position model. The record is from RNAcentral.
AACGAACGCUGGCGGCAGGCUUAACACAUGCAAGUCGAGCGAAGGCUUCGGCCUUAGCGGCGGACGGGUGAGUAACGCGUGGGAACGUGCCCUUCUCUCUGGAAUAGCCCUGGGAAACCGGGAGUAAUGCCGGAUACGCCCCUUGGGAGUAGAUCCUUUGGGGGAAAGAUUUAUCGGGGAAGGAUCGGCCCGCGUCGGAUUAGGUAGUUGGUGGGGUAACGGCCCACCAAGCCGACGAUCCGUAGCUGGUUUGAGAGGAUGAUCAGCCACACUGGGACUGAGACACGGCCCAGACUCCUACGGGAGGCAGCAGUGGGGAAUCUUGGACAAUGGGGGCAACCCUGAUCCAGCCAUGCCGCGUGAGCGAUGAAGGCCUUAGGGUUGUAAAGCUCUUUCAGCGGGGAAGAUAAUGACGGUACCCGCAGAAGAAGCCCCGGCUAACUCCGUGCCAGCAGCCGCGGUAAAAC